CUGCUCCUGUCUGGUGGCGCUUGACGGCGCUGCUGCUCCUGUACGGUGGCGCUUGACAGCGCUGCUACUCCUCAGCGCAGCGGAUGGAGCUGCUGCUCCUGGGCGGAUGGUGCCCUACGGGGAGGAAGGUCAGGGUUGGAGUUGAUGUGGCGCGAGGGAACAAGCGGACGGGCGGCGGCGCGGUCGAGUUAGGUUUAGGUCGGAGGCGGCGGCGCACGGGUUCUAUGUGAGUGGUGAGAGAGAGAAGGGUGAGAUUGGGGGUUGGACGGGUGUGUUUUUUCUUUUCUUUUGCUGGUCUGGUCCGACUCGGGUGUUUUCCAUCGCGCGCAUAUCUCUACUACUAUUAAACAAGCAAACAUAUCUUUCCCUCCCUUUUUUUUACUAAUAAAGCAAAUAGUGUUUCUGGUCGUCCGUCAUUAAAAGUGCCCUUGAAGUUGUAAAUAAUUACCCACCAUGCCAUUGGUAAGUGGAAAAAACGGUUCGGUUUACCCUUUUCUAAAAUCCGCGACCUACUCAAGUUAUUAAAGUGAAGCCCCUGUAAUCAACAACUUGCAUGUGUGUGGCGCAGUGGUGUGAGGCUCGCCUGUUUACCUGGGAGACCCAGGUUCGAGUCCCCUUGCUCCCUUUUUCCUCCUUUUAUUUUUCUCUCCUAUUAAUGUUGGUAGGCGUAGGAUAUUACUACUCGCUCCAGCGUCACUUAGCAGAUGGGCAGCACAAUGUACCAGUUACUCUAUUUUUUGGACAUAUUCAUAUAUUUCAAAAAAAAAUCAUAACUUUCAAACCCUAACUCCAAAUCUAACAUGUUAUGUAUAGAAAUCCCUUAAAAAGAUGUGUAGAUUUCAAAUAUGGUAUUAUAUUAAUCACUUUCAAUGUCAAAAAAACUCAUAACUUUCAAACCCUAACUUCAAAUCUAGCAUGUUAUAUAUAGAAAUCCCUUAAAAAGAUGUGUAGAUUUCAAAUAUGGUACUAUAUUAAUCACUUUCAAAUCCUAACGCCAAAUCUAACAUGUUAUAUAUGGAAAUCCCUUUAAAAAGAUGUGUAGAUUUCAAAUAUGCUAUUGUAUUAAUCAUCAUUCCUAAAAUUCCAUUUAUGAUGCAACCUUUAUUAAUAUCUUCUUUAUAUGGGGUAUUUUGAAAAUCCCGGCUUAACGUUGAUAUUUCUGUAGUCUAAUAAAUUGGAAACAUGUUGAAUACAUUUCACAAAUAAUACAACCUUAUGAACUUACACCACUUAUCAUGUUGUUUCUCGUGGGGCAUUGUGAAAGAUUUGAAGGGAUUCGCCGAUGCUCUCAGGUGUGCAUAUGAGGGAUGAUUUUUUUCCGUUGCAACACACUGGAAAUAAUGCCUUUCCAUGGAAUCUGAAGCAUGCAUGGUUAAAAAAGAAAUUCCGAAUCAUACACCUGAUUUCAUGAAAAUUAUUGUGACCUCUUCAAAUAGAAAAUUCGUUUUAGUGUGGUAUGUGCAAAUCUGUUUAUUAUGUUUCCUUCUAUAUAAAAGAAAAUUGAGUUGUACUUUAGACUUUAUAGGUCUCCGUGCAUGUAAGUUUAGAAGAAAUUUGGUAACGAAAAUCAGUAAUGGGCAUCUGGUAACUUACCAAUUAAACCCUAAUUUCUUAUAUAUGUACAUACAUGUACGAUCCUCAUGAUUUAGGCUCUCAAUGAUAAAUCAAAUGAUGAAGGUAAUGACUCAUUAUACUACAAAUUAACUAGGAAGGUAAUUUAGAUAUUUAAAUUAAUCAAUUCUUUCAGGAUUGAAGUGUAGCAUCUCAUACAUGCAUUUUAAGAUCAUUGGUAAAAUAUACAUUACAUGGCUGAUGCAAUAGAAUGUUAUCUUGGGUCAUUGGGCUAGGGAGGUGUGUUUUGAUUCUCCCGGUGCAACGCACGGGCAUAUUUACUAGUUCUUCUCUAAACACAUUCAAAAACACGUACACGAAACAACCAAGAUAAAAUACCACCUCACGAUUCGAUCCAUCUAAUUAGAUCUAACCGUUAAUAACCCUCAUCUGUGUACGUUUAGCAAUUUAGAGAAGCGGACGAAACUCUGCCAUCUAUUCGUCGAGAGGACGAAACGUUCCGCUGCGAGCAAAAAUUUAACUGAUUCGCGUGAUUAAAGGCCUGCAUGCAGCGGCAUGGCCCACGUUCAGCAUUAUGGCGUUCGCAUGCAUUUGUUCGGCCUGCCGAGGCGCAUCUUCAGGAGAGGGGGGAGAAUGAGAGGCCUGGCGGCGGCACAGGGCGUGCUCGCCGGCGAGCGUGCUCCCGCAUCUGCCUGGCGCACGGGGUUGGAUCGGGCGCUAGGGUUGCCCUGCCGCCGCCCAUAGCAGUCAGGGGUUGACGGGGAGAAGCAGUCGGAAGGCGACGGAGGCGGCGGUGGCUCGAUUACAUCUAUGCGACGAUGACGGCUCGGCAGCGGCGAGUGGCCGAUUCAUCUCCUCGCUAGCCCCUCGCCCUUUAAAGGUUAAAGAUCUGGCACCCUCUUCCCCCGGACGCCCAGAACGAGCGGCGGAUCCAGAAAACCAGUUCGUCAAGAUACGCGCAUACACAAGAAGUAGACAUGCAAACAGCUGGAUGGAUUUUUCUUACAGGAGCGCACACACACAUAUGGAAAAGGCAAGCCGCCGGUGAAGACAGCUUCAGCCUCACCACCAAGGACGGAAUCACGGAAAGGUCAGCUUCAUCCGAACCAACCGCGAGGACCAUGCUAAGGUACAUACAUACAUAUACCAAGAUCGAUAUUGACCGAUGCUUGUGGUUGCAAUUUCAUGUCCAUCACUGAUGUAUUGGUGCUCAUGGUGAGAUAUGGGAUAAUAAGUGGAAACUUUUCACCGCUCAGUUCUUACCGAAUGAAUCUUUGUAAGUAAUCUUUUUUCCCUACCCCCUCUUAUAUUUACAGGAAAUUCAAGUGUGGUACACAUAUGAGUAUGCUUUGCUUCCCUCUGUUGUACACAUGUGGUUAUUUGUUAUCUCUGAUUAAGAGAAUCAAGGGCCACUACAUUCUUGAAUAUUGAGACUGUGUUAGUUGGUUUAGGUUAAACUUGAUACAUGCUAUUUACUUUUUCUUCAUCUGACAAUUCAGUUGUACUAUUGAUUUUGACAAUUUUCAGGAAUUUUAAGCCGUCUUUGGAUUUUAGCUUCCUCAAUCAUUCUGAAUUAUUUAAUGUUAGUAUGAGGUACAUGUGUUCCCAAGAUUAAACUUGAGAAAUGUGUAGUUGACCACUUGGGUACGUUUGAUUUCUUUAGUAGAUGCAGCGACAACCACCAUUGUCCAUGAUCUAUACUAAAGAUAAUUAUUAGCAGUGCAACAUCUCUGUUGGUUCAAUCAAAUAGUUCAGCCUGGUCGGUUCUUACUAAUAUUUAAGCCACCUUCAAUUUUUAGCCUGCUCGGUCAUUUUGGAGUAGUUUCAGUUUUGGGUGCAUGUCUUUAAUAGAACAACAAACUUAUUUUAGGUGCUAAAAUAAACACUAAACACCAAUUCCUGAUGGCGACUAUUUUUAGAAAGACCAUCCGGCUGGAGGAGAUCCUUACUAUCGAUGUCAAGCCGGGGUGGAAGAAGGGCACGAAGAUCACCUUCCUAGAUGGAAGGAUCCGGUUUUUUCGGUGCAGUUCUGUGUUUUAAAAAGUUAUUGCGAUGUAAUUUUUUUAUUAACACUACAGUCCAUGAAGUUAUAUUUACGGAUAUUUCAUUUUUCGCAUAAGAUGAAGCACCAUUUUAUUUUUAAAUAUUUUUUGAAGUAAAAUUUGUGAAUAAACGGAAUGAUGUUUCAGAGGAUUUGAAUGGUUGUGACUUGUGGGGUCGCCUGGGGAGGCGACUGCGGCAGGGAGCAGCGGCACAUCGGCGGACAACAACACAUGUGUAGCGUGCAGCGGCAGCGGUUGCACGGCCACGACGGAAGAGCAACAACACGAAUGAGGUGCAGGUGGGGGUAAGAGUAAGUAUCACUUGUCAUGUUUAACUCAUGGCAACAAAGAGUAAGGAUCACUUCACACUCACUACAGGAAAAAUACUGCUGUGACGAUUAUAUACAUAUAUGUUCCACUUGGUCGCUCAGUUAGUAUUAAUUUCCUAUCUAUUCCUUUUUCUUGCAGACACGUUUUGAAACUAGACUUUGAUGGGAAGUUCAUCCGUAUAUGGGAAUUAUACCUUUAUAUGCCUCUGGUUUCACAUCAUGAGCAGUUAGAAAUUACCAUGUAUGGACGCAUGUAUGUGUGCUCUUUGUGUAGGUUUACCUGCAUUAUUCCUAGACAAAUGGAAGUCAUAUACUCCCUCUGUCCUUCGAAAAACAUCUUGCUGGAAAUUGUUUGAUGGUUUCCAAUGCAGACUAAAAUUUGAGCUGAUGUUGCCUUUUGCAAUUAUGUUAAUCUCAGCCGUAAGAUUGAAAGAUCAGCAGACAUUAGAUCUUUGAGUAAAAAGUAGUAACUUGGAACCUUUGGUGAACGGUAGAAAGUGAGCUUUCGUUGUUUGAGAUUGUAAAUAACAUGGGAUGGAGACUUGACCCCCACAUAAUUAUUUUACACUGACCUAUUGAACCAUGAAACAACAUUGCUGAACUUCAACAUUUCGGUAAAACAUCACAUGGAAAAUUGGCUACAACCAACCAGAUUGUUAAAUCCUCAUGUAUUUUAUACUGAACUCAAGAAGUGUGAAUAAGCAAGAAAGCUUUUGAAGAGAUCAGUGUAUCGUCGCAACUGCUACUACGAUUGGCUCCUUUCCAAGCACUGGUAAGAUCUUUCAACAGAUCUUAGCGACAUCUCUCUCUUCUUAAAUUUGCCAGGAUUUUAUGUAGUUGCUUUUCUUCUAAUAAGGUGCAUCCUGCUUGCUGUUGAAUUGUGCAGAAAGGCUACAUUGUAUUAAUUUCUUUUUCGCAUAGUUGAUACAAUUCAACACAUUUUGUAUCAACUGAUAACUUUGAAUCUUUGCGUCUUUCAUCGGAUCGUGCUUUGAAUUUGCACAUGAAUAACUAAAAGCACCAUGACAUUACGCAUUUCCUUCAUUUUAGCCAUUAAACUUACUUAUGUAUCCGGUGUUAAUUUAUCAUUUCUUGUAUAUUCAUCUUAGUUAGGAAGGGUGGCUUCAGUCAUCCUAAAUUUUGUGUGGGUUCUUUUUUCAGCCGUGGCUAGCUUUGCAAAACAAUAAUUAUUAUAAUCCUUGAUCUGCACAUGCCCAAUUUCCUUAUACCGUAUAGUGUCUCAUUCUAGAAUAGUAGCCUUUCUGCUCUGUUAAGAUGUUGAAGCACGGCGACAUUUUUAACUCAUGUUUAAUAUUGACAGAACUAAGCAUUAGGUAGUUGCUUGCAUGCCAUUCAUGUCAUAGAGAAAAUGCUAAAUUUCCUCUCUCCAAUUCCUUAUCAUGAACCUAACGCUUUAUUGAUCUGUUUUUAGCUUCUAGAUGUUCUGAAACUAUAUACACAAUAGAUACUGUUUGUCUGAACUGUAGUUCCACUCCAUGAAAAGCUGAGAUAAACUAAGAAUGGGGUAAAAAAAAUCCGACUCUUCCUGCUCACUGGCGGUGCCCGCUAUGGCAUGGGUGGCUUUACCGCAGCCGCCGAGCCUUCAAAUUCUGAAGAUAACAAGCAGCUCGAAUCCAAGAAGAAAACUAAUUUAGUUCAGCCAACACUCCUAUUUUUUGUGCAUCUUUGUUCCAACUUUGCAUUGACGCCAUGUCCACUUGGACAAUGUUCAUAUGUUACUUUGAUUUUUGCCCAAGAAAAUAAACAUUCUGAAAUCUUUGUAGGAAUAGACUAAAUACGCUACGCCCUUACAUUCUUUGUGGAGAAGUUCUUCAGCCAAUCUAUUGCCAUUGAUUUCUGUCAUCCUAAAGUUUGAAUUCAAAAUUUUAUACCCGCAAAAUUUGAUAUGGUUUGAUUGAGAUGUGCGACGUGCGUUGCACGUACACACUUACUUUUCGAUAGAAACUAGGUAUUAUGACAGUCUAAUGCAUCCAAUGUUCAUAAUGACAUUACAAAUUGUACCAUUAAGCAGCUUAGGAGGACCAUCCUCUGUUCCUGUAACAGAACCGAUGUAAAUUCUUCACUUGCCCCACCACCUACAUAUAAAGAUUGAUUGUUAGUACAUUAUUACUGAAAAAUGCUUCUCUUUGAUAGACGCAUCACUACAUGUGUACAUAAUUAGGACAUACAGAUCACAUCUGUGACUUCAUAGGCCCACACAUAAUCUGAUUUAGCCACAAGGCUUUGAAGCUGGCACCCGUGCAAUAAGAUAUAAAUAAAUGAAAAAUAAAAUAUGCCACUCACAACGGGAAAAGUAAUUACAAUUCUAACAGACUCAUCCCUCUCCUUUGUACUGCCUCUGCCAGGAAAUUGUUACAUGCUACAAAUUUGUGGAUGAAGCACGCACAAGAAAAACAAUAGAUUUACUUACCCAGAGGCCAGCCGAUUCAUGGCUGGAUCUAGUUAGUUACCUACACGUACUAGAAAAGCAUUGACCGAGCUCACCUAGAGCGACCGAAUCUGGAGGUGGGGCAAGGAAGGGGCGACGAGAAAGGACUCACAUACCAGAAGCUUACCUCAGGCCGGGCGGAGGGAGGGAAAUCAGCCGGAACAGAGGCCACAGGUGGAGGAAAACCAGCGUUGGAUCCUCGGCGGCCGACGGCCUUGCUUCUCCUUACUGGUGGACGGUUCUGCUGCUCCUGUCUGGUGGCGCUUGACGGCGCUGCUGCUCCUGUACGGUGGCGCUUGACAGCGCUGCUACUCCUUAGCGUAGCGGAUGGAGCUGCUGCUCCUGGGCGGAUGGUGCCCUGCGGGGAGGAAGGUCAGGGUUGGAGUUGAUGUGGCGCGAGGGAACAAGCGGACGGGCGGCGGCGCGGUCGAGUUAGGUUUAGGUCGGAGGCGGCGGCGCACGGGUUCUAUGUGAGUGGUGAGAGAGAGAAGGGUGAGAUUGGGGGUUGGACGGGUGUGUUUUUUCUUUUCUUUUGCUGGUCUGGUCCGACUCGGGUGUUUUCCAUCGCGCGCAUAUCUCUACUACUAUUAAACAAGCAAACAUAUCUUU
This 7001-nucleotide long non-coding RNA is filed under the name Triticum aestivum (bread wheat). Its description in RNAcentral is "long non-coding RNA (TAES_LNC020811)". Lineage: Eukaryota; Viridiplantae; Streptophyta; Magnoliopsida; Poales; Poaceae. The record is from RNAcentral.